ACGGUGAGUAACGCGUAUCCAACCUGCCGUCUACUCUUGGACAGCCUUCUGAAAGGAAGAUUAAUACAAGAUGGCAUCAUGAGUCCGCAUGUUCACAUGAUUAAAGGUAUUCCGGUAGACGAUGGGGAUGCGUUCCAUUAGAUAGUAGGCGGGGUAACGGCCCACCUAGUCUUCGAUGGAUAGGGGUUCUGAGAGGAAGGUCCCCCACAUUGGAACUGAGACACGGUCCAA
RNAcentral lists this ribosomal RNA (231 nucleotides) under uncultured bacterium. RNAcentral's name for it is "partial 16S ribosomal RNA". It matches the Rfam family "Bacterial small subunit ribosomal RNA", at positions 105 to 334 of the family's 1533-position model. The record is from RNAcentral.